RNAcentral lists this long non-coding RNA (269 nucleotides) under Lathyrus oleraceus (garden pea). RNAcentral's name for it is "Pisum sativum (pea) long non-coding RNA (PSAT_LNC032894)". Lineage: Eukaryota; Viridiplantae; Streptophyta; Magnoliopsida; Fabales; Fabaceae. The record is from RNAcentral.
GCAUGGCUUGAACAUGGCAUCAUCAUUUGGCAAGAUCAAAUUUCAAACAGCUGUACACAUUUGCCUUGCAUUCCAAGUUGUAUUUAGACUCAUUCACACUUGAUUAUGGACCUAAUUGAGUGACUUCAUGGGCCUGUAUACGCCCAUGCAAGCAUGCAUCAUCCAUUGCCAAAUUUGGAAGUUAAAUUUGAAGGUGCAAAUAUCACAAGCUGCAAUUAUAAAUUGAGGCCUCUAGCAUCAGAAUUGAGGACCCUUGUGCGCCAGCUUUG